CUCUUUAAACGGCCGCGGUAUCCUAACCGUGCAAAGGUAGCAUAAUCACUUGUCCCCUAAAUCGGGACUAGAAUGAAUGGCUAAAUGAGGACUAAACUGUCUCUUACAGGCUAGCCAAUGAAAUUGAUUUCCCAGUACAAAAGCUGGAAUACACCCAUAAGACGAGAAGACCCUGUGGAGCUUCAAAACCAAACCAUUUAAUAUGUCCCUUGGUUUUUUAGUUGGGGCGACUUCGGAAUACAACAAAACUUCCAAAAUAAGAUCAACCCAUUAAGGUUAACACACCAAAAUCUCCACAUAGACCCAGCAACUAAUUUUUUGUCUGACCAAUGAACCAAGUUACCCCAGGGAUAACAGCGCAAUCUCCUUUUAGAGUCCAUAUCGACAAGGGGGUUUACGACCUCGAUGUUGGAUCAGGACACCCCAAUGGUGCAGCC
This 437-nucleotide ribosomal RNA is filed under the name Lacerta media ciliciensis. Its description in RNAcentral is "partial 16S ribosomal RNA". It matches the Rfam family "Bacterial large subunit ribosomal RNA", at positions 1919 to 2560 of the family's 2925-position model. The record is from RNAcentral. Lineage: Eukaryota; Metazoa; Chordata; Lepidosauria; Squamata; Lacertidae.